Molecule: non-coding RNA, 749 nt
Organism: Peromyscus maniculatus bairdii (prairie deer mouse)
Lineage: Eukaryota; Metazoa; Chordata; Mammalia; Rodentia; Cricetidae
Source: RefSeq, a predicted model, not a curated record
CCAGCCUGCUGAAUAGAGCGGCGAACAGGCAAGCCCACCAGGUCACGUGCUCACGGGGCCCACAAUACAACCGUCUCUGUCUCUGUCUCUUCUCGGUGCCCACGGAUGUGGCCCACGGAAUGAAAUCAGCAGGCCCGAUGGCAGGCAGGGUGUUCUGGAGGCUGAGGCAGGAGGAUCAACAGUUCAACACUCGCCUGGGCUAUAGAAUGAGUCCAAGGUCAGCCUGAGCAAGUCAGCAAGACUGUGACUCAAAAGCAGCAAGCGAGCAAAGACAACAAAAAAGGAGGUCCCUGUUCUGGGGAAACAGAGUGGAGGGGCAGGCUUGGCUCAGCUUCCUUCAUGGGUAAUUCCUCAAGGAUUGUGAGAUGGAGAAACUGAGGCAGAAUGAGGACUCCUGAGCAAAGGUGAGUGCCCUUCCAUGAGCAUGUUCCAGGGAAUGUAAAACUGGUGCUUGAACAGAGAAACCCAGGACUCAUUCCCUGCCCUAGUAAUUAAAGAGUAAUUUGGAGUGGAGGAUAAAACCCUGGCUGGUGGUUACUUGUAAUAAAGCCUAGUCUGGUUGUAAAUUCAUGCCAACCCUUCUGCCUCAGUCUUCCGGGUGAUUACAGGCAUGCACCAUUUUGCCUGGCUUUUAAAGUCAGUAUUACCACUCACAACCUUCCCUAGUGGUAUCUUACGCUUAGGGAGCAUUCCAUUCUCUCUCUCUCUCUCUCUCUCUCUCUCUCUCUCUCUCUCUCUCUCCCUCUCCC